UUAAGUUAUUAAGGGCGCACGGUGGAUGCCUUGGCACUAGAAGCCGAUGAAGGACGUUACUAACGACGAUAUGCUUUGGGGAGCUGUAAGUAAGCUUUGAUCCAGAGAUUUCCGAAUGGGGAAACCCAGCAUGAGUUAUGUCAUGUUAUCGAUAUGUGAAUACAUAGCAUAUCAGAAGGCACACCCGGAGAACUGAAACAUCUUAGUACCCGGAGGAAGAGAAAGAAAAUUCGAUUCCCUUAGUAGCGGCGAGCGAAACGGGAAGAGCCCAAACCAACAAGCUUGCUUGUUGGGGUUGUAGGACACUCUAUACGGAGUUACAAAGGACGACAUUAGACGAAUCAUCUGGAAAGAUGAAUCAAAGAAGGUAAUAAUCCUGUAGUCGAAAAUGUUGUCUCUCUUGAGUGGAUCCUGAGUACGACGGAGCACGUGAAAUUCCGUUGGAAUCUGGGAGGACCAUCUCCUAAGGCUAAAUACUCUCUAGUGACCGAUAGUGAACCAGUACCGUGAGGGAAAGGUGAAAAGCACCCCGGAAGGGGAGUGAAAUAGAACCUGAAACCGUGUGCUUACAAGUAGUCAGAGCCCGUUAAUGGGUGAUGGCGUGCCUUUUGUAGAAUGAACCGGCGAGUUACGAUUUGAUGCAAGGUUAAGCAGUAAAUGUGGAGCCGUAGCGAAAGCGAGUCUGAAUAGGGCGUUUAGUAUUUGGUCGUAGACCCGAAACCAGGUGAUCUACCCUUGGUCAGGUUGAAGUUCAGGUAACACUGAAUGGAGGACCGAACCGACUUACGUUGAAAAGUGAGCGGAUGAACUGAGGGUAGCGGAGAAAUUCCAAUCGAACCUGGAGAUAGCUGGUUCUCUCCGAAAUAGCUUUAGGGCUAGCCUCAAGUGAUGAUUAUUGGAGGUAGAGCACUGUUUGGACGAGGGGCCCCUCUCGGGUUACCGAAUUCAGACAAACUCCGAAUGCCAAUUAAUUUAACUUGGGAGUCAGAACAUGGGUGAUAAGGUCCGUGUUCGAAAGGGAAACAGCCCAGACCACCAGCUAAGGUCCCAAAAUAUAUGUUAAGUGGAAAAGGAUGUGGCGUUGCCCAGACAACUAGGAUGUUGGCUUAGAAGCAGCCAUCAUUUAAAGAGUGCGUAAUAGCUCACUAGUCGAGUGACACUGCGCCGAAAAUGUACCGGGGCUAAACAUAUUACCGAAGCUGUGGAUUGUCCUUUGGACAAUGGUAGGAGAGCGUUCUAAGGGCGUUGAAGCAUGAUCGUAAGGACAUGUGGAGCGCUUAGAAGUGAGAAUGCCGGUGUGAGUAGCGAAAGACGGGUGAGAAUCCCGUCCACCGAUUGACUAAGGUUUCCAGAGGAAGGCUCGUCCGCUCUGGGUUAGUCGGGUCCUAAGCUGAGGCCGACAGGCGUAGGCGAUGGAUAACAGGUUGAUAUUCCUGUACCACCUAUAAUCGUUUUAAUCGAUGGGGGGACGCAGUAGGAUAGGCGAAGCGUGCGAUUGGAUUGCACGUCUAAGCAGUAAGGCUGAGUAUUAGGCAAAUCCGGUACUCAUUAAGGCUGAGCUGUGAUGGGGAGAAGACAUUGUGUCUUCGAGUCGUUGAUUUCACACUGCCGAGAAAAGCCUCUAGAUAGAAAAUAGGUGCCCGUACCGCAAACCGACACAGGUAGUCAAGAUGAGAAUUCUAAGGUGAGCGAGCGAACUCUCGUUAAGGAACUCGGCAAAAUGACCCCGUAACUUCGGGAGAAGGGGUGCUCUUUAGGGUUAACGCCCAGAAGAGCCGCAGUGAAUAGGCCCAAGCGACUGUUUAUCAAAAACACAGGUCUCUGCUAAACCGUAAGGUGAUGUAUAGGGGCUGACGCCUGCCCGGUGCUGGAAGGUUAAGAGGAGUGGUUAGCUUCUGCGAAGCUACGAAUCGAAGCCCCAGUAAACGGCGGCCGUAACUAUAACGGUCCUAAGGUAGCGAAAUUCCUUGUCGGGUAAGUUCCGACCCGCACGAAAGGCGUAACGAUUUGGGCACUGUCUCAACGAGAGACUCGGUGAAAUCAUAGUACCUGUGAAGAUGCAGGUUACCCGCGACAGGACGGAAAGACCCCGUGGAGCUUUACUGUAGCCUGAUAUUGAAAUUCGGCACAGCUUGUACAGGAUAGGUAGGAGCCUUUGAAACGUGAGCGCUAGCUUACGUGGAGGCGCUGGUGGGAUACUACCCUAGCUGUGUUGGCUUUCUAACCCGCACCACUUAUCGUGGUGGGAGACAGUGUCAGGCGGGCAGUUUGACUGGGGCGGUCGCCUCCUAAAAGGUAACGGAGGCGCUCAAAGGUUCCCUCA
RNAcentral lists this ribosomal RNA (2323 nucleotides) under Staphylococcus aureus VET1950S. RNAcentral's name for it is "bacterial LSU rRNA". It matches the Rfam family "Bacterial large subunit ribosomal RNA", at positions 3 to 2324 of the family's 2925-position model. The record is from RNAcentral. Lineage: Bacteria; Bacillati; Bacillota; Bacilli; Caryophanales; Staphylococcaceae.